GACGAACGCUGGCGGCGUGCCUAAUACAUGCAAGUCGAACGCACUCUCGUUUAGAUUGAAGGAGCUUGCUCCUGAUUGAUAAACAUUUGAGUGAGUGGCGGACGGGUGAGUAACACGUGGGUAACCUGCCCUAAAGUGGGGGAUAACAUUUGGAAACAGAUGCUAAUACCGCAUAAAACCUAACACCGCAUGGUGUAGGGUUGAAAGAUGGUUUCGGCUAUCACUUUAGGAUGGACCCGCGGUGCAUUAGUUAGUUGGUGAGGUAAAGGCUCACCAAGACCGUGAUGCAUAGCCGACCUGAGAGGGUAAUCGGCCACACUGGGACUGAGACACGGCCCAGACUCCUACGGGAGGCAGCAGUAGGGAAUCUUCCACAAUGGACGAAAGUCUGAUGGAGCAACGCCGCGUGAGUGAAGAAGGUUUUCGGAUCGUAAAACUCUAGUUGUUGGUAGAAGAAUGUAUCUGAUAGUAACUGAUCAGGUAGUGACGGUAUCCAACCAGAAAG
Molecule: ribosomal RNA, 505 nt
Filed under: uncultured bacterium
Lineage: Bacteria
Description: bacterial SSU rRNA
Rfam family: Bacterial small subunit ribosomal RNA
Source: RNAcentral